GCCCUUCAAAUCGGGGGAGGAAGCGCCUAUAUUCCCCUCGUCGUCCUCGGACGACUAUGGCGAUAAACGGCUAUCGUAAUAAACCUUUCGGACCCGGGGGCGGUACCCGGCGCCUCCACCUCAACGCCGCGUGCGACGUUCAGGCGGGGGCGAAACAGGAUCGACGAGGGCGUAAAGGGUGGACUUUUGCUCGGCAUGAUACCACCGUUAUCGGGUCAAAAACGAUAGUUGCGAAUGACAACAAUCGCUCGGUUGCCUUGGCUGCGUAAGCAGUCUGGAAGACCAAACCAAAGUCCUCUGGGGUAGCACUUAGAGGCGGGGCACGGGGAACGCCUGGCAACAGAAGUUCCCCACU
RNAcentral lists this transfer-messenger RNA (355 nucleotides) under Rhizobiales bacterium PAR1. RNAcentral describes it as "Alphaproteobacteria transfer-messenger RNA". It matches the Rfam family "Alphaproteobacteria transfer-messenger RNA". Rfam says of the family: Bacterial tmRNA, also known as 10Sa RNA or SsrA, is named for its dual tRNA and mRNA-like properties. Its role is to liberate the mRNA from a stalled ribosome. To accomplish this part of the tmRNA is used as a reading frame that ends in a translation stop signal. Lineage: Bacteria; Pseudomonadati; Pseudomonadota; Alphaproteobacteria; Hyphomicrobiales. The record is from Rfam by way of RNAcentral.